GCUCCCUCUGCUCCCUCGGCCCAAUCACGGAGGCAGAGGGGAGAUAAGAGCAGGGUUUGAGGUUUGGCUGCUUUGCCCUUUUCUCCUCGUGUCCUUCCAGGAGGGAUUGGGAUGAGCCGAGCAGUGCAGCCACUCUUUGGGGAGCGGAGUGGGUGCAUCGGAUGGUGCCUUUGGUUGCAACGCAGCCCCCGUUAACUUCCUGAGGUGGGUUUCACAUGAGCAGCAUCAUAACCAUCAGCUCUACAAGCAGGACGUAGGAAGGCCAAAUGUGCGUAAUUACCACUCAGAUGCUAAUUACCUGCACUGGGCCCAAACCCAAUGCACCAAACGCCGCUCACAGGAGUGCUCUCAGGACCCCACAGCUGAG
This 367-nucleotide long non-coding RNA is filed under the name Gallus gallus (chicken). Its description in RNAcentral is "lncRNA (ENSGALG00010029024.1)". The record is from RNAcentral. Lineage: Eukaryota; Metazoa; Chordata; Aves; Galliformes; Phasianidae.